UACGAAGGGGGCUAGCGUUGCUCGGAAUCACUGGGCGUAAAGCGCACGUAGGCGGCUUUCUAAGUCAGGGGUGAAAUCCUGGAGCUCAACUCCAGAACUGCCUUUGAUACUGGAAAGCUUGAGUUCGGGAGAGGUGAGUGGAACUGCGAGUGUAGAGGUGAAAUUCGUAGAUAUUCGGAGGAACACCAGUGGCGAAGGCGGCUCACUGGUCCAUUACUGACGCUGAGGUGCGAAAGCGUGGGGAGCAAACAGG
This 253-nucleotide ribosomal RNA is filed under the name uncultured bacterium. RNAcentral describes it as "partial 16S ribosomal RNA". It matches the Rfam family "Bacterial small subunit ribosomal RNA", at positions 524 to 776 of the family's 1533-position model. The record is from RNAcentral.